AACGCACCUUGCGCUCCUUGGUAUUCCGAGGAGCAUGCCUGUUUGAGUGUCAUUAAAUUCUCAACCCCAUUACCUUUUACAAGUUAGUGAGGCUUGGAUGUGGAGGUUGCUGGCUUCUCUGAAACCGGCUCUUCUUAAAUGUAUUAGCAGAAUCUGUGCUGAUCAUCUUUGGUAUGAUAAUUAUCUAUACCAUUGAAGCUUGGUGUUGGAAAGAUUUCGCUUCUAAUCGUCUAUUUAAGACAACUAUGACAAUUUUGACCUCAAAUCAGGUAGGACUACCCGCUGAACUUAA
This 292-nucleotide unclassified non-coding RNA is filed under the name uncultured Agaricales. RNAcentral describes it as "sequence contains ITS2". The stretch from base 1 to 52 matches the Rfam family "5.8S ribosomal RNA", at positions 103 to 154 of the family's 154-position model. The record is from RNAcentral. Lineage: Eukaryota; Fungi; Basidiomycota; Agaricomycetes; Agaricales.